This is a long non-coding RNA of Lycium barbarum (goji berry), 2773 nucleotides long. RefSeq lists it as uncharacterized. The record is from RefSeq and is a predicted model, not a curated record. The transcript has 2 exons. NCBI's taxonomy places the organism in Eukaryota, Viridiplantae, Streptophyta, Magnoliopsida, Solanales, Solanaceae.
CCGAGGACUAAUAAAUACAUAUGUUUACAUUAAAUAAUAUUUUGGUACACGUUAAUAAAUAUAAUUAAUUGAAAAGGGCUUUUAUUUAAUUUAGAAACCAAAUCCGAGCCCAACUAGCCAAAUAUUUCGGACCAGCCCAACAUUUAAAAAAAAAAAAACCAAAUCAGCUACCCGACCCAGCCCAUGCUCUAAAUUCACCAGCCCACUAUUUUAGCCCAAGACCCGGUCCAUUAACGCUUCGACCCGAUCCGACCCGCUUGGUUCAAUAAAUAUGAAAACCAUUAGGUCUUCAUCCUUUUCCCUCUUCAGCCGCAUACCUCCCUCGCCUUCUCUCUCUCCUCCGCUCUCUCUCCCUCUCUUUUUCCCCUUCCUUCCAUUUCCGGCUAAAAUCCACCAUCCCUAUAACCAUGGACAGUGUUGACCUCCCAUUUUCGUGCAAACUUCGUUUGCUUCCUCUUCAGCCGCUCAUCUCUCGUCCCUUUCGUCUCUGUCUUUCCCCUGCAUUUCUCGACUAAAAAUGGCAAAAUCGCAGUCAUCUUUCACCUCCCCAGGUCGUGCAUGGCCAUAUCGGGAAGGGCAUUUAAUGUUUGUGCAUGGCCAGUUGCGAAUCGUCGUCUUCCUCUGUUGACUGUUGUCGAUCUGAAACACUUUUAAUGGAAUUCGUCCGUUUUUGAACGUAUACAAAUUCGGGUUUCGUAGUGUUUCGAGGUGGAUCGAAGAUUCAAGGCCUCACUUCGCUGCACCCGAAGAAGGUAAAUCCCAUUCCUUUCCUUUUUAUUUUUAGUUUUGUGUGUUAUAUGCUUGUAUGAUUCAGUUUGGUGCCUAACUUAGUUACUGUUGUUCGAUGAGUUAAUAUUAUAUUUUAGCUUAGUUCAGAUCUCGUUGAAUGUUGCCGUUAUCAUCUGGCUUAGGCUAUUAGCAUGUUUGGCUCGAUGUGAACAUUGUUUCUUUAUAUGUUGAUAACUCAAUCUAGCAAAUUCUAUAGGUUCAUUUUAGGUUUCAUUCCUAGUCAAUUUGGUUAAUGAUUAGUUAGGCAUGUCGUUUGCAGUUGUUCAUGUUAGUUAAACUUAAUCUGAUACGACCUAGCCAAUCUAGUAUGAAUCAGUUAAGUAACCAUGUGGAUAGCUUGAGGGCAUGAACAACCUGUUCAUUAAUACGUCUUGUGUUAGUUAAGUUCAAAUCAAUUAGUUAUUGUAAAAUGACAUGCUAAGUAGUCUCCUUAUUAAAGGCUUGUUUUUAGAUGAUUUCAGUUUAGCCAGCAUCAGUGGUCUGUGUUGUUAAUUCGCUAUUGGGUUUAGUAUCUAAAGAGCUCGGAAUGUGUUUCUUUGAAGGGAUACAAAUAUUGGACUCAGUUCUGUUCCCUGUUGUUGGACUCUAUAUUUAAAAGAAGGAAGUUUCAAUUUGUUGAGGUUGCUGUUUCCUUACUGUGAUUUGGCAUUUCCCUGCCUUGAAUGAAACUUAUUUGCCAUGGUUUUCAUGCAUGAUGUUGUUUUCCUGUGUUUGUAUAAAAUCAGUUAAGUGCUCUCUCUUUCUUGGUAUGUUAUGAAGAUCUAAAAUGAGCGAUUAAGGUUAAUAUGUAUAGCCAUCAUUUGAAAACUAGGAGACAGAUUGGAGGAGCAGAACAUCUGAAUCAGUAAGGAAUAAGUGUUGGUUAGCGAGCAUGUGUUAUCAUGCAUUUAGUUUGGCAUUUAGUUAAAUUAGUUUAAUCAUAGUUAAUAGGCAUUAACGGUCAUAUGCCCAGUUGGCUGCCUAAAAUCAGUACGGGUUAGUUAAUUAAAUUUCAUGGAUGUCUAAGCUUUACAUUGACUAUAGUAUGAGUAUGAAAUAUGAAAGCUGUUCUUUUUUUUUUCAGUCUUCCAUUUCGUUUUAACUGUCAUAUGAGUUCAGGAUAAAAGCAUAUGUUGAGGUCUGCUUUAAUUUCAGUUGGUGUGACUUGUUAUUUUUGAUAUCGUUUGUAUAAGCUAAACCGUGGGGGCUACAGUUGUGUUAAUUGAUCAAAUAUGUUUGUUAAAUCUUAUUGAGUGUGAUCCAGCGCAUACUUUUCCUGUUUUGAUUCAAUAUAAUGUGAUAGCAUAUCAUGUUAUGAUGGUUUAGUGUGUUACCAAAUUGUACAGUGGCAUUCCACCCAAUCAUUUGCAUAUUCCUAAUUUGCUUAAAAUGGGUCAGAAGACUUCUGAAAUCAGCCUCUAUAGCAUGAAUGAGUCUGUUUGAUGACUUUAUGUCUAUGCAAAUCUUAUAUAUUCAUACAUUACGAUGUAAUGUGCUGGGAUAAUGUAUAUUGAGUUUAUAUUAUUACAUGCUUAACCUUAUGAGUUGAUCGCAUACUAAUCUUUUCCUCUUUCAUUUUUGCAUGAACCUUACAUACGAGUCCAAGGGACUCGUCUCCCUCCGCAUUCGGUGUUGGGCUAAAAACCCAACGAAAUCUUCUCUCGGUCCAUCCCUGUCCACAGCAAAAAUGGAAAACAUAAAUGCUGGGCCAAAGCCCAAUAGGCAUGAACAGUGCGCAGCAGUUUAAAAAAAUGGGCUGAGCUCAUUCUCCCAACGGCAGCUAUGGAUCACAGUGGCUUAAAACGGGCAGGCCCAUUUGAUAUUAUUUGGCCCCUUUUAUUUUAUUUUGUGCCUUUAAUUUGUAUGAUGCAACUAACCCUUUUAUUUUGUUUUUUUUGUUUUGUUUUUUAACUUAGACGAAUUCUAGGAGAAUUAGUGGAGUUAGCUUAGGGUAAAGGGGAGUUAACUUAGGGAAAGACCCGCAAUAAAUCCCAUAGAUUUCAUU